This 1372-nucleotide ribosomal RNA is filed under the name uncultured bacterium. RNAcentral describes it as "bacterial SSU rRNA". It matches the Rfam family "Bacterial small subunit ribosomal RNA", at positions 28 to 1381 of the family's 1533-position model. The record is from RNAcentral.
GAUGAACGCUGGCGGCGUGCCUAAUACAUGCAAGUCGAGCGAACGGACGAGAAGCUUGCUUCUCUGAUGUUAGCGGCGGACGGGUGAGUAACACGUGGAUAACCUACCUAUAAGACUGGGAUAACUUCGGGAAACCGGAGCUAAUACCGGAUAAUAUUUUGAACCGCAUGGUUCAAAAGUGAAAGACGGUCUUGCUGUCACUUAUAGAUGGAUCCGCGCUGCAUUAGCUAGUUGGUAAGGUAACGGCUUACCAAGGCAACGAUGCAUAGCCGACCUGAGAGGGUGAUCGGCCACACUGGAACUGAGACACGGUCCAGACUCCUACGGGAGGCAGCAGUAGGGAAUCUUCCGCAAUGGGCGAAAGCCUGACGGAGCAACGCCGCGUGAGUGAUGAAGGUCUUCGGAUCGUAAAACUCUGUUAUUAGGGAAGAACAUAUGUGUAAGUAACUGUGCACAUCUUGACGGUACCUAAUCAGAAAGCCACGGCUAACUACGUGCCAGCAGCCGCGGUAAUACGUAGGUGGCAAGCGUUAUCCGGAAUUAUUGGGCGUAAAGCGCGCGUAGGCGGUUUUUUAAGUCUGAUGUGAAAGCCCACGGCUCAACCGUGGAGGGUCAUUGGAAACUGGAAAACUUGAGUGCAGAAGAGGAAAGUGGAAUUCCAUGUGUAGCGGUGAAAUGCGCAGAGAUAUGGAGGAACACCAGUGGCGAAGGCGACUUUCUGGUCUGUAACUGACGCUGAUGUGCGAAAGCGUGGGGAUCAAACAGGAUUAGAUACCCUGGUAGUCCACGCCGUAAACGAUGAGUGCUAAGUGUUAGGGGGUUUCCGCCCCUUAGUGCUGCAGCUAACGCAUUAAGCACUCCGCCUGGGGAGUACGACCGCAAGGUUGAAACUCAAAGGAAUUGACGGGGACCCGCACAAGCGGUGGAGCAUGUGGUUUAAUUCGAAGCAACGCGAAGAACCUUACCAAAUCUUGACAUCCUUUGACAACUCUAGAGAUAGAGCCUUCCCCUUCGGGGGACAAAGUGACAGGUGGUGCAUGGUUGUCGUCAGCUCGUGUCGUGAGAUGUUGGGUUAAGUCCCGCAACGAGCGCAACCCUUAAGCUUAGUUGCCAUCAUUAAGUUGGGCACUCUAAGUUGACUGCCGGUGCCAAACCGGAGGAAGGUGGGGAUGACGUCAAAUCAUCAUGCCCCUUAUGAUUUGGGCUACACACGUGCUACAAUGGACAAUACAAAGGGCAGCGAAACCGCGAGGUCAAGCAAAUCCCAUAAAGUUGUUCUCAGUUCGGAUUGUAGUCUGCAACUCGACUACAUGAAGCUGGAAUCGCUAGUAAUCGUAGAUCAGCAUGCUACGGUGAAUACGUUCCCGGGUCU